AAUCUCUUUUCUUCCGCACAGAUUUCUGCAUCCUCUCAGUCAUGAUGAUAAAGGAUUUACUACCUCAGUCAUGUCACCACUCUUGAAUAUCAUUCCCAUGGCAUGGUGCAGUAGGAACUGGUUGACUUUUAAAACUAAGUUAUAAUAAUCUUAAAGCGAUUGGAAAUUGAGAAGAAUGUAAUGGAAAAUAUAUUUAUAUGGCUUGGUUAGCCAAAAUUCCCUCAUAAAGCACCAACCUGCAGGAUCCCUUAGCAAUUUACUGAAGAUGAAAAAUAAGCAGAACAACUUUUUAUAGGUCUGUAGUCACUAGAGAUUAAUUACAAACACUAGGUGUAUUUUAACCUAAUUCUUGGUUCCUGAAAAGCACUGCAGAUGACAGCAACAAAAGAUAAUACCUGCUUUUACCACGGGGGAAAAAAAUGGAUAACUGGAACACAUACUUUGAGAAAUGACUGCUGAGAAGAAUUGGAAAGGGACUGGAAGCAAUGAUGGCUAAAGAAUCUCGAGAAGGAAGACAGACUAUACAUAUUUUUUCUAG
RNAcentral lists this long non-coding RNA (538 nucleotides) under Homo sapiens (human). Its description in RNAcentral is "HSALNT0029817". Lineage: Eukaryota; Metazoa; Chordata; Mammalia; Primates; Hominidae. The record is from RNAcentral.